RNAcentral lists this long non-coding RNA (377 nucleotides) under Elaeis guineensis (African oil palm). RNAcentral describes it as "long non-coding RNA (EGUI_LNC003820)". The record is from RNAcentral. Lineage: Eukaryota; Viridiplantae; Streptophyta; Magnoliopsida; Arecales; Arecaceae.
GAUCCUCUACUUCGCGUGUAUGCCAAAUACUGUAGGAGAGAGGAAUGAACUCUUUUUUUGAAGAGAAAGGAGAGGAACACUUGAGAUUUGAUCUCAAAUCUUUAGAAUAGCCCACAUGCCACCACAAAGAGAGAGAGAAAGCCAAGAGGAGAGAGAUGCCUAGUGCUAGGUGAUGCCCAAGAGAGCGGGGAUGCCCACACCAGGCGAUCUCCAUAUCAAGCCUUUGAUUGAUUUUUUUUUUCCUUCUCCACACCCCUUUUUAUAUAUACAAGAGGUCCUAAAUCAAAUCAAACUCCUUUGGAGAAUAGGAAAAGGACUCUCCAUGUUUGAAUUAAAUCUAAACUCCAUAAAAUACAAAGAUUCCUAAUGUGAGCAGG